Molecule: microRNA, 24 nt
Filed under: Brugia malayi
Lineage: Eukaryota; Metazoa; Nematoda; Chromadorea; Rhabditida; Onchocercidae
Also listed under: 1 other name
Description: bma-miR-5876
Source: miRBase by way of RNAcentral
CUAGGAGGAAAUGAGGGGUAAGAU